Molecule: ribosomal RNA, 253 nt
Filed under: uncultured bacterium
Lineage: Bacteria
Description: partial 16S ribosomal RNA
Rfam family: Bacterial small subunit ribosomal RNA
Source: RNAcentral
UACGUAGGGACCAAGCGUUGUUCGGAUUUACUGGGCGUAAAGCGUGCGCAGGCGGUGAUGUAAGACAGGUGUGAAAUCCCCGGGCUUAACCUGGGAACUGCAUUUGUGACUGCAUCGCUGGAGUGCGGCAGAGGGGGAUGGAAUUCCGCGUGUAGCAGUGAAAUGCGUAGAUAUGCGGAGGAACACCGAUGGCGAAGGCAAUCCCCUGGGCCUGCACUGACGCUCAUGCACGAAAGCGUGGGGAGCAAACAGG